UUAUAAAUACCACCACCUAGCUAGCUUUAAUUCAAACCAAUUCAAUCCAAAAAAUCACUUCUCUUUCUCUUAAUUGUGUUGUGAAAAAAAAAAUGGAGAUUCAACAAAUUAUUACUUUCUUCCUCUUUAUCUCUUUCCUCUUUUUUCUAAUUCACAAAUUGAGAAUUAAAACCAAAAAAAGUCGCAACAAAAAAAUAUUACCACCAGGACCUUGGAGGUUACCAAUUAUUGGUAGUGUGCACCACUUAACAAAAGGAAUACCACACCAUGUUCUCAAAAACUUGUCACAAAAAUUUGGCCCAAUUAUGUACUUACAACUAGGGGAAGUUCCCACUAUAGUCGUAUCCUCACCACACAUGGCACAAAAAAUCAUGAAAACUCAUGACCUCGCUUUUGCAUCAAGGUCACAAACCAUGUUGGGAAAGAUCUUUUGUUAUGAUUGUACGGACAUUGCAUUCUCUCCAUAUGGUGAAUACUGGAGACACAUGCGUAAAUUGUGCAUCAUGGAGCUCCUCAGUGGUAAGAUGGUCAAGUCAUUUAGUCCGAUUAGACUAGACGAGCUUUCAAGCCUCGUAUCGUCUAUUAAAUCGAUGGAGAACACGCCCAUCAACGUGUCAGAAAAACUUUUUUGGUUUAUGAACUCUGUGACAUGUAGGUCAUCAUUUGGGAAAGCGUGUAAAGAUCAAAAUGAGGCAUUUUUAACUAACAAAACAUAAUGUUGUCUCACUCCCAUACUAGUAAAAUAAGAAAGUACCUUUCUUCAAUAUCUUCAUUCUUUGGUUUUCCACAUUACAAUUAGAAUAUCAUUUCUAUUGAACACAGCUCAUCCCUUUGUUUGGACUAAAUAUGAAAGAAAAAACAAAACUAAAGCAGUGUUUGGUUGACUUGUAAUAAAAAUAUUGAUUACACCAUGUGAAUUAUUUGUUGAAGAUAUUAUAAUUUGUUGAAGAACUAGUGUGUCCUAUUCAAACUCAAAUUUAUAAAUACCACCACCUAGCUAGCUUUAAUUCAAACCAAUUCAAUCCAAAAAAUCACUUCACUUUCUCUUAAUUGUGUUGUGAAAAAAAAAAUGGAGAUUCAACAAAUUAUUACUUUCUUCCUCUUUAUCUCUUUCCUCUUUUUUCUAAUUCACAAAUUGAGAAUUAAAACCAAAAAAAGUCGCAACAAAAAAAUAUUACCACCAGGACCUUGGAGGUUACCAAUUAUUGGUAGUGUGCACCACUUAACAAAAGGAAUACCACACCAUGUUCUCAAAAACUUGUCACAAAAAUUUGGCCCAAUUAUGUACUUACAACUAGGGGAAGUUCCCACUAUAGUCGUAUCCUCACCACACAUGGCACAAAAAAUCAUGAAAACUCAUGACCUCGCUUUUGCAUCAAGGUC
RNAcentral lists this long non-coding RNA (1383 nucleotides) under Solanum tuberosum (potato). RNAcentral's name for it is "long non-coding RNA (STUB_LNC004369)". Lineage: Eukaryota; Viridiplantae; Streptophyta; Magnoliopsida; Solanales; Solanaceae. The record is from RNAcentral.